This 595-nucleotide long non-coding RNA is filed under the name Anser brachyrhynchus (Pink-footed goose). Its description in RNAcentral is "lncRNA (ENSABRG00000000513.1)". Lineage: Eukaryota; Metazoa; Chordata; Aves; Anseriformes; Anatidae. The record is from RNAcentral.
GGAACUGUGAGAUAUAAACAAUAGUGAAUAGAUUUUAAAGUGUUAUAUCUUUCUCCUCAGGUUGAUCCUCCAGAAUAUGCCUUUUCAAACUGUUCUCUAAAACCAUGAAGAAUAUAAACGCAUAUUUACAGGCAAAAUAAAAUAGUGUAAAGAUUCCUCAGAUUCCUGGUCUACAUGGCCACAUAUAACACAUACUGGUAGAAAGACAACUGGAAGAUGAAGUCACUCAUAUUUGAUAACCUGGACUAAUGGUCAGAGUACUUAUUCUGGAACAUGUUCAGAUUCUGGGACCUCUGUGAUGAGACACACAUCUCUUUGAAGCAGCCUAAAGGAAAGGCUGUGGGGAAGCUCCCACUCCUUUUGGAUUGAUCACAAGGGUGAAGAUUCACAUGACCAAAGCAGGAGUAAGAGGAAAUGUGAUUCUGUACCUUAUCCAGAGAGUCCACUCCACUGGAGACAGCUACCUCCUCUCUUCACUCCUCUUGUGGGAUGCCUUUGUGUCUGGCAGAGGGAGCAAAUGGUUUCAGUAGCAACUGACAAAUUGUCCAAUAAUGUGAGUAAUAAAUGCAGUCAGCAGUCACUUCUCUAAACUGCA